UUCUAAAUUACAUGCAUUCUUAACGUACCAUUGAUUUAUUCUUCUUGAUUCAGUUUUCUCAAUUUCUUGUUUCAUGUUAACAAUUCUUCUUCUUUCUGGGCUGUCUUGGAAUCUUUUUUGGUGAUGCAAGUUGUUUUUCAAUAGAUCAAGAAAGUAGUAGUAAUUGAUUCUUUUGUUCUUAUAGCUACUUGUCCGUUUUCCUUAAUAUGAAACUCACUGCUUUAUUUUAAUAGUUUUCUAAUGAUUCUUAAUUGCUAUGGAGCUUUAUUAGUUGUGUUUUUUUUCUCGUAUGACUACAUAGGUAAUUAGAUCAUCUGAUUAUGAAAUUUACUGCACCCUUGUUUUCUUGAUAUGUUUUACUUGAGCUGAGCGGGGUAAGGCUAAGGCUGAGACUCCACCUGUGGGAUUAUCCGGUGUUUUUUGUUGUAAUUUUAGGCAGUGGUUUAAUACACUGCAUUCUUGUGUUUGAUACUGUGGUGGUUAUUGAUUCUCUUGCUAAUUCAUGUUGAACUAAAAGAAACUUAAAGAAGCUGAAACAUCCCGCCUUUUCUUUAAUAACCUUCUACAAUCUUGAACUCUGAAUUUUCUUGAACAUUCAGUUUUCUUGAUUUUAUGAAUUUCUUGAUUCAUGUCAUGUUAACAAUCUUAUUCUUUAUGGGCUGUCUUGGGAUUUUUUUGGUGAUGCAAGUUGUUUUUCAAUAGAUCAAGAAAGUAGUAAUUGGUUUUGAUUCUUUUGUUCUUAUAGCUACUUGUCCAUUUUUUUUAACAUGAAAUUCACUGCUUUAUCUUGAAUAGCUUUUUAAUGAUUCUUAAUUGCUAUGGAGCUUUAUUAGUUGUGCUUUUUCUUUUCUUUCCGUAUGACUACAUAGGUUAUUAGAUAAUCUGAUUAUUAAAUUUAUCACAUGCUUGUUUUCUUGAUAUGCUUUACUUGAGUCGAGGGUCUAUCCAGAAUAGCCUCUCUACCUUUACAAGGUAGGGAUAAGGCCGAGCCCCCACUUGUGGGAUUAUACGUUGUGUUUUGUUGUUGUUGAUUUUGAAAUUUAAUGUACUUAGGAGAUAUUUUAGGCUGUGGUUUCAAUACAUUGCAUUCUCGUGCUUGAUACUGCGGUGGCUAUUGAUUCUCUUGCUAAUUCAUGUUGAACCAAAAGAAACUUAAAGAAGCUGAAACAUCCCACCUUUUCUUUAAAUAACCUUCUACAAUCUUGAACUUCGACUAAGUCUCAGGAUUGUCAAUUUUUAUGCUCUUUAUAGGAGAAGUGUUAGAAGCAAAUGAGUUUAGGCACAUUCUAUAUCUAGGGGAAAGUUGGGAUAGUUUUGUUGUUUUUGUAAUCAUGGGCAUGUCUUUGCAUAGUUACUGAUGUGAUUUAAUUUUUUACCAUAUCAAGCAACUAAAAGUCUAAAACUAGUGGAUAACCUUUAAGCUGCCACAAAUGUUGAAGCAAGUACUUGCGGAUAUUGCUUGAUUUAUCUGGUUCCUUCAUAAACUUGAUUAUUGUGUUGGUCAGGAGGCCGAUGAUAAAAUUUUGCUAGUUUUUCUCGAUGUAGUUAGGUGGUUAACAUAUCACGCAACUAUAAAGUGCAACAAGUUUGUUUUGUAAUUAUGGCGGAGAAGAACAAAACCAAUUGGCUAAAAAUGUACUUCAAAUAACCCUAUAAUUGUGAGUUUGAGCCUCUUGGAGUGGUGGAUAUUUGUCAAGUUCAAAUUUGAAUGGGUUCCCAGAUUUCUUUCAUGUGGAUUAGAUUGGGUGGUUUAAGUGGAGUGUUGGUCCACUAAAAGGUCACUGUAUCACUGUUGUGUGCUCUUUUUGAACAUGAAUCUCGAGGGCAUCAUCAUGUUGGGGCUUCGUGACUGGUUCUCUGCCUGAGCAUUGAAAGGAUGAGCAGUGGAAGGAUGACAGCUGGUAGUUUGUGUCCAGUGAAUGGCAGAGAUUUUUGGUUCAUCCAACGUAUAAUCACGAGGAAUACACUGGUUUUAUUGAAAAGCUAUGUUGGGUUGAAAAAGACUGUGUUGGGUAGAAAACCUAACUUCUCUUGCUCGCGACUCCUUUAUCCUUCUAUCUUAUUUCCAUUGAUUUUUUUUAUUACUCCCAUCUCAAGGCAUUGUCGCUUUUGAUUCCCUGCUGGUUUCCCUAAUGCUCGAAUUAGUAACACUAUCUCCCAUUUACCAAACAGAUCACAUAUCAUAAUAUCCCAUGCAUACUCGUUCUAGUGAAUCUUUCAACGUUAACUUGAAAGUACACACAACAUUCCCAGCUCCGGCAAAUGAAGUUUCUUCUUGUCAAGUGCUCAAGUAGUUCCUUCUAUCAUCGAGAUAGAAUCCCCAUGCUCAAAUGAAGAUGAAUUUCCUAACUACAUCAGCUGGACUUCUUUUCCUUCUAUUUUUCUUCCUCAUAGUUUGCAGGAUAGUGCAUUACUAGUAUCUUGAAGCAUUCAGAAAAAGAGAGUGUAUGGAAGCCUUCUUAGUCUAUAAGAUGAGCAUUCUCACAAAAAACCUGAGAAUCUUACAAUAUUGAGUUCAAAUUUCUGGAGUCAUUCUUUUAAAGGGGCUCUUGAGCAGAAACGGGAAAUUAAGCCAUGGAACUCAAAUAAAAUUUCUUCCGAGUUUGAUGCAGCCUUGUACAGUUCCAUGAAACCAAGUCUUAUUUGAGUCAUCCUGGAUGGGCACCAAUCACAGAUUUGUUAGAUCUUUGGUGUUGAGUCCAGAAAGUUCUUGACCCAAAAGCUGCCUGUGGUUCAUAAAAAAGUAACACAUGGAAGAAAACAUUGCAAUUUCAAAUCUUGGGUGUCAUUUCCUAAGUAAUUCUUGGAUUUUGCUUGGUGAUUAUUACAGCCCAUGAUAAAUUCAACUAUUCAAGAAAAUCAUCAAAGGGUGAAACCUACUGGUCAAUGUAGUGGGAAGCGGAGGCAAAAACACCAGGAAUUAAUCACUCUCAUAUUCAUGUCAAGGAGAUAUAUACCAACCGUAAGUUUCGAGGAAUUGACAAAUCUGGUGUAUACAAACUAAAACCCGGUGUAGGGCAUUGUCCAAUGGCAGGUGUUCCGUUGAUAUUUCCUGUCCACUCUUGGCACAAAAGGAAGAACACAAUGAAGUAGGGUAAGGUUAGCUAAAGGAUUUGAUGGGGCUAAGGAUGGUUCCAAAAAGAGCAGCUACUUUAGAUGAAUGCUACUGCGAUUGCACUCUUUACUUGCAUGUAUGAAAUUGACAUUACAUGUAUCCUGUUCGUUUGAGACUUGUUGCUGCAAGACUGCCGUGAGCCAUGAUAAAGAUGGGUGAACUAGAGAUCAAAGGAAUGAAAAGAAGCUGAUAGCAUAAUACACGAGUAGUUUGGGCCAAGAAUAACCUUGAUCAUCAUGAGAACUUUCCUGACCAUCCCUAAAUCCCAAUGAAAGCCUUUAAUUGGGGCUUUGCUGGAAAAACCUGCUUAAAAAACCUUAUGUUGUUCUUGAGGAAAGCUAUAUGGACAUGUGUGAAGACCAAGAGCGAUUAUUCACUUCUCUUCUUCCAUGGUCCAAGUGUGGGAUAAAUUGAUUCUCCAUUUGUAUUUAGAUUUUUGUCUUUGUAUUUUCUCAAUUCCAAACCCUUUUUUUAAGUCCUACCUUGAAAGGAACAUACAAUGAGAUCGUACCUGGAUAGAGAUGGUGGUCUUACUCUGAUGUCUCCAAGCUGGCCAUAAUAGAAUAGCUAGGUGAAGCAGUCGAUAGAUAGCAGGUUGCUUACAAACUCAACCAUUUUAAACACAAUUGCUACUUUUUUCUUGUCAUUGACUGAGUGGUAGUUUUCGUCCCUGUCAAAUAAAGAUGACUCCUAGAGAGUUACCAAAAUAUGAAGUUCUCUUCUUUCUUUUUGA
Long non-coding RNA from Solanum tuberosum (potato), 3848 nucleotides. RefSeq lists it as uncharacterized. NCBI's taxonomy places the organism in Eukaryota, Viridiplantae, Streptophyta, Magnoliopsida, Solanales, Solanaceae. The record is from RefSeq and is a predicted model, not a curated record. The transcript is spliced from 7 exons.